This 760-nucleotide ribosomal RNA is filed under the name Priestia megaterium. RNAcentral's name for it is "bacterial SSU rRNA". It matches the Rfam family "Bacterial small subunit ribosomal RNA", at positions 55 to 796 of the family's 1533-position model. Lineage: Bacteria; Bacillati; Bacillota; Bacilli; Caryophanales; Bacillaceae. The record is from RNAcentral.
AUGCAAGUCGAGCGAACUGAUUAGAAGCUUGCUUCUAUGACGUUAGCGGCGGACGGGUGAGUAACACGUGGGCAACCUGCCUGUAAGACUGGGAUAACUUCGGGAAACCGAAGCUAAUACCGGAUAGGAUCUUCUCCUUCAUGGGAGAUGAUUGAAAGAUGGUUUCGGCUAUCACUUACAGAUGGGCCCGCGGUGCAUUAGCUAGUUGGUGAGGUAACGGCUCACCAAGGCAACGAUGCAUAGCCGACCUGAGAGGGUGAUCGGCCACACUGGGACUGAGACACGGCCCAGACUCCUACGGGAGGCAGCAGUAGGGAAUCUUCCGCAAUGGACGAAAGUCUGACGGAGCAACGCCGCGUGAGUGAUGAAGGCUUUCGGGUCGUAAAACUCUGUUGUUAGGGAAGAACAAGUACGAGAGUAACUGCUCGUACCUUGACGGUACCUAACCAGAAAGCCACGGCUAACUACGUGCCAGCAGCCGCGGUAAUACGUAGGUGGCAAGCGUUAUCCGGAAUUAUUGGGCGUAAAGCGCGCGCAGGCGGUUUCUUAAGUCUGAUGUGAAAGCCCACGGCUCAACCGUGGAGGGUCAUUGGAAACUGGGGAACUUGAGUGCAGAAGAGAAAAGCGGAAUUCCACGUGUAGCGGUGAAAUGCGUAGAGAUGUGGAGGAACACCAGUGGCGAAGGCGGCUUUUUGGUCUGUAACUGACGCUGAGGCGCGAAAGCGUGGGGAGCAAACAGGAUUAGAUACCUGGGUAGUCA